This is a non-coding RNA of Schistosoma margrebowiei, 45 nucleotides long. NCBI's taxonomy places the organism in Eukaryota, Metazoa, Platyhelminthes, Trematoda, Strigeidida, Schistosomatidae. The record is from Rfam.
AUCCAGCUGACGAGUCCCAAAUAGGAAGAAAAGAGCGUCCUAGAU